Andrographis paniculata is the source of this 705-nucleotide long non-coding RNA. RefSeq lists it as uncharacterized. NCBI's taxonomy places the organism in Eukaryota, Viridiplantae, Streptophyta, Magnoliopsida, Lamiales, Acanthaceae. The transcript has 3 exons. The record is from RefSeq and is a predicted model, not a curated record.
UGGGCAUGGUCUAGACUAUACAUGCUAGCUCCUCGAAUUAAAUCCAUUAAAUCUAUUGAUCUUGACCCUUUGAUACUUCCUAAUGGUCUAGUACUACCGGCUGCUCCUUAUGGAGCUAAGUGGAGUCGUGGUAAACAUAAUUUUGCACUAACCAUGCAUAAUUGUGUAUCUUCUAUUCAGGAUAUUCUUGAUCACGAAGGAGAUGGGCAGUCUAGUCCAAAACAUUAUUGACGUUUCACAAGAUCGAGCAAAAUUGGACAUUUGAAUCAUAUGAAACUACUUUCAUAAAUGAUGAUCAAGUCCACCUAAGUCCGGAUCUUUAUAUUCACAGUGAUUCUAUUCACGCAUUUGAGACUGGUGAAGGUAGUGGCAUGCACGAAAGCAUAACUACACCUUAUGAAGGUAAUAUGGCUAAUUUUGAUUAUUCACCACUUUUGGAAUGUCACCGUGUGCAAUCUCAAGGACGUGUACUUGAUAACUCACAUAUUGAAUGUAAUAUUGUUGAAUCCUCAUGUCCUCAAAUUCAACGAGUACUUCGUAGAAGCACUCAUGAAAGUCAUCCACCAAAUUGUGGUACCGGAGGCCACAAAGGACAUUGACAUGAAUGCAAGUGUUUGUCUGUAUGUGUCUCUUGAUUUGUAUGUGCAUGUAGAUAGACUUGGAUAUUUGUUUAAUGUAGUUGGAUAUUAUAUUUUUAGUUGGAAU